This 358-nucleotide ribosomal RNA is filed under the name uncultured bacterium. RNAcentral describes it as "bacterial SSU rRNA". It matches the Rfam family "Bacterial small subunit ribosomal RNA", at positions 8 to 353 of the family's 1533-position model. The record is from RNAcentral.
AGAGUUUGAUCAUGGCUCAGGAUGAACGCUAGCUACAGGCUUAACACAUGCAAGUCGAGGGGAAACGAUAUUGGAAGCUUGCUUCCGAUAGGCGUCGACCGGCGUACGGGUGAGUAACGCGUAUCCAACCUGCCCACCACUUGUGGAUAACCUUGCGAAAGUAAGACUAAUACCCAAUGAUAUCUCUAGAAGACAUCUGAAAGAGAUUAAAGAUUUAUCGGUGAUGGAUGGGGAUGCGUCUGAUUAGCUUGUUGGCGGGGUAACGGCCCACCAAGGCAACGAUCAGUAGGGGUUCUGAGAGGAACGGUCCCCCACAUUGGAACUGAGACACGGUACCAAACUCCUACGGGAGGCAGCA